GUGCCAGCAGCCGCGGUAAGACAGAGGUGCCAAGCGUUAGGCGGAAUCACUGGGCUUAAAGCGUGUGUAGGUGGAUUUGUAAGUACCUUGUGAAAUCCCAUGGCUCAACCAUGGAACUGCUCGGUAUACUGCGAAUCUUGAGCCACUUAGGGGCUACCGGAACAAAUGGUGGAGCGGUGAAAUGCGUAGAUAUCAUUUGGAACGCCAAUGGUGAAAACAGGUAGCUGGGAGUGUGCUGACACUGAGACACGAAAGCCAGGGGAGCGAACGGGAUUAGAAACCCGGGUAGUCC
Molecule: ribosomal RNA, 292 nt
Filed under: uncultured bacterium
Lineage: Bacteria
Description: partial 16S ribosomal RNA
Rfam family: Bacterial small subunit ribosomal RNA
Source: RNAcentral